Molecule: transfer RNA, 74 nt
Filed under: Ancylostoma caninum (dog hookworm)
Lineage: Eukaryota; Metazoa; Nematoda; Chromadorea; Rhabditida; Ancylostomatidae
Also listed under: 5 other names
Description: tRNA-Ile
Source: RNAcentral
UGCCGCCAGCAGGGGUCGAACCUGCGACCUUGGGCUUAUUAGACCCACGCUCUAACCGACUGAGCUAUGGCGGC